This 404-nucleotide ribosomal RNA is filed under the name Pseudomonas sp. Its description in RNAcentral is "partial 16S ribosomal RNA". It matches the Rfam family "Bacterial small subunit ribosomal RNA", at positions 355 to 776 of the family's 1533-position model. RNAcentral also lists the same sequence under 5 other names. The record is from RNAcentral. Lineage: Bacteria; Pseudomonadati; Pseudomonadota; Gammaproteobacteria; Pseudomonadales; Pseudomonadaceae.
UGGGGAAUAUUGGACAAUGGGGGCAACCCUGAUCCAGCCAUGCCGCGUGAGUGAUGAAGGCCUUCGGGUUGUAAAGCUCUUUUGGCGGGGACGAUGAUGACGGUACCCGCAGAAUAAGCCCCGGCUAACUUCGUGCCAGCAGCCGCGGUAAGACGAAGGGGGCUAGCGUUGUUCGGAAUUACUGGGCGUAAAGCGAGUGUAGGUGGUUGUCAUAGUCAGGUGUGAAAGCCUUGAGCUCAACUCAAGAAAUGCACUUGAUACUGGGCGACUAGAGGACCGGAGAGGAUAGUGGAAUUCCCAGUGUAGUGGUGAAAUACGUAGAGAUUGGGAAGAACACCAGUGGCGAAGGCGGCUAUCUGGACGGUUUCUGACACUAAGACUCGAAAGCGUGGGGAGCAAACAGG